Molecule: transfer RNA, 66 nt
Filed under: Eubasilissa regina
Lineage: Eukaryota; Metazoa; Arthropoda; Insecta; Trichoptera; Phryganeidae
Description: tRNA-His
Source: RNAcentral
ACUUAAAUAGUUUAAAUAAAAAAUUUUAAUUUGUGGAAUUAAAGAUAUAAUUAAUUAUUUUAAGUU